This 253-nucleotide ribosomal RNA is filed under the name uncultured bacterium. Its description in RNAcentral is "partial 16S ribosomal RNA". It matches the Rfam family "Bacterial small subunit ribosomal RNA", at positions 524 to 776 of the family's 1533-position model. The record is from RNAcentral.
UACGUAGGGGGCGAGCGUUGUCCGGAUUUAUUGGGCGUAAAGAGCGUGUAGGCGGCCAGGUAGGUCUGCUGUGAAAACUCGAGGCUCAACCUCGAGACGUCGGCGGAAACCAUCUGGCUAGAGUCCGGAAGAGGAGAGUGGAAUUCCUGGUGUAGCGGUGAAAUGCGCAGAUAUCAGGAAGAACUCCCGUGGCGAAGGCGGCUCUCUGGGACGGUACUGACGCUGAGACGCGAAAGCGUGGGGAGCGAACAGG